Molecule: non-coding RNA, 30 nt
Filed under: Homo sapiens (human)
Lineage: Eukaryota; Metazoa; Chordata; Mammalia; Primates; Hominidae
Source: RNAcentral
GCACCAUUGAGCAGUGAGUGAACGAGACUC